UUCCGGAUUGUCAGUCUGAGCUGUUUCCGCCGCCAUUGCGAGUCUGAGCGACUCCCAUCCGUGCAGAGAGGGUAGAAAAAAAAACAUCAGCCAUCUGGCGGAUUGGCUUGACACGACGAAAACACGAUACUUGCAUUCACCGUGUAAUUUACGCAGCACUCCUGUAUUUGAUUUAUAUUGAAUCGGGGUUGUCCGUGGAGAGGAGGUCGUCGCUCGUUAAAGCUAGGCAGAAAUAUUGCGAGGAGUCCGGCCGGGAGGAUUGUGAGCAGAAAGCCAAAACCAUGGCUCAGAUCCUGCCUAUCCGCUUUCAGGAGCACCUGCAGCUCCAGAAUCUGGGCAUAAACCCAGCAAAUAUUGGGUUUAGUACCCUCACGAUGGAGUCAGAUAAGUUCAUCUGUAUCCGGGAGAAGGUGGGUGAACAGGCCCAGGUGGUGAUCAUCGAUAUGAGUGAUCCAAACACACCCAUCCGCAGGCCCAUCUCUGCAGACAGUGCCAUAAUGAACCCAGCCAGUAAAGUCAUUGCUCUUAAAGCUGCAAAAACCCUUCAAAUUUUCAACAUUGAAAUGAAGAGCAAGAUGAAAGCCCAUACCAUGACCGAAGAUGUUACAUUUUGGAAGUGGAUCUCUCUCAAUACCGUAGCACUUGUGACAGACAAUGCCGUCUAUCACUGGAGUAUGGAAGGAGACUCACAGCCUAUCAAAGUCUUUGACCGACAUUCCAGUUUAGCUGGCUGUCAAAUUAUUAACUACCGCACUGACGCCAAACAGAAAUGGCUGCUCCUUAUUGGAAUUUCAGCACAGCAAAACAGGGUUGUGGGUGCAAUGCAACUUUACUCCGUGGACAGAAAGGUGUCACAACCAAUCGAAGGCCACGCUGCUGGGUUUGCCCAGUUCAAAAUGGAGGGGAAUGCUGAGGAAUCCACACUAUUCUGCUUUGCUGUUCGGGGACAAGCUGGAGGAAAGUUGCACAUUAUUGAGGUUGGAACACCUCCGUCAGGUAAUCAACCUUUUCCAAAGAAAGCAGUGGAUGUGUUCUUCCCUCCAGAGGCCCAGAAUGAUUUCCCAGUUGCUAUGCAGAUAAGCUCCAAGCAUGAUGUUGUCUUUCUCAUCACCAAAUAUGGCUACAUCCACCUAUAUGACCUUGAGACUGGCACAUGCAUCUACAUGAACAGGAUCAGUGGAGAGACCAUUUUUGUGACCGCACACCAUGAUGCCACUUCUGGAAUUAUUGGUGUUAACCGGAAGGGACAGGUGCUAUCUGUGUGUGUGGAGGAAGAAAACAUCAUUCCUUACAUCACCAAUGUGCUGCAGAACCCUGACCUGGCCCUCAGGAUGGCUGUCCGUAACAACUUGGCAGGCGCCGAAGAGCUGUUCGCACGCAAAUUCAACAACCUUUUCGCUGGCGGCAACUAUUCUGAAGCUGCCAAAGUGGCUGCCAAUGCACCAAAGGGCAUUCUGCGCAUCCCAGACACCAUCCAUCGCUUCCAGAGUGUUCCUGCCCAGCCUGGUCAGACCUCUCCCCUGCUGCAGUACUUUGGGAUACUGUUGGAUCAGGGCCAGCUGAACAAGUUUGAGUCAUUAGAGCUUUGCAGGCCAGUGCUGCAGCAGGGUCGCAAACAGCUUCUGGAGAAAUGGCUCAAGGAAGAUAAGCUGGAGUGUUCUGAAGAGCUUGGCGAUUUAGUAAAGUCUGUGGAUCCAACUCUUGCUCUCAGUGUCUAUCUGAGGGCAAAUGUUCCCAAUAAGGUUAUUCAGUGCUUUGCAGAGACCGGGCAGUUCCAGAAAAUUGUACUGUAUGCGAAAAAGGUUGGCUACUCUCCAGAUUGGAUCUUCCUGUUGAGGAAUGUGAUGCGGAUUAGUCCAGAACAAGGCCUGCAGUUCUCUCAAAUGCUUGUUCAGGAUGAGGAACCUCUGGCUGACAUCACUCAGAUUGUGGACGUGUUUAUGGAGUAUAACCUGAUCCAGCAGUGCACUUCUUUCCUGUUGGAUGCCCUGAAGAACAACCGCCCCACCGAGGGUCCUUUGCAAACCCGUCUGCUGGAGAUGAACCUGAUGCAUGCUCCACAGGUGGCUGAUGCCAUCUUGGGCAACCAGAUGUUCACUCACUAUGACCGGGCUCAUGUGGCUCAGCUUUGUGAGAAGGCAGGUCUUCUGCAGAGAGCUCUGGAGCACUACACUGACCUAUUUGACAUUAAACGUGCCGUGGUCCACACCCAUCUGCUGAACCCAGAGUGGCUGGUGAACUUCUUUGGCUCUCUGUCUGUGGAGGACUCUCUAGAGUGUCUGAGAGCAAUGCUAUCUGCCAACAUAAGGCAGAACCUCCAGAUCUGCGUCCAGGUGGCCUCCAAGUAUCACGAGCAGCUCUCCACCCAGUCGCUCACAGAGCUUUUUGAGUCCUUCAAGAGCUUUGAGGGUCUGUUCUACUUCCUGGGCUCCAUUGUAAACUUCAGCCAGGAUCCUGAGGUUCAUUUCAAAUAUAUUCAAGCUGCCUGCAAAACUGGCCAAAUCAAGGAAGUGGAGAGAAUCUGCAGAGAGAGCAACUGCUAUGAUCCUGACCGUGUGAAAAACUUCCUCAAGGAGGCUAAACUGACUGACCAGCUGCCCCUCAUUAUUGUGUGUGACCGUUUUGACUUUGUCCACGACCUUGUGCUCUACCUUUAUCGCAACAACCUGCAGAAGUACAUUGAGAUCUAUGUGCAGAAGGUAAACCCCAGCCGCUUACCUGUGGUGAUCGGAGGUCUGCUGGAUGUGGACUGCUCUGAGGAUGUCAUAAAGAACCUCAUUUUGGUGGUGAGAGGCCAGUUCUCCACAGACGAACUGGUGGCCGAGGUGGAGAAAAGAAACAGACUGAAGCUGCUCCUGCCAUGGUUGGAGGCCCGUAUCCAUGAGGGCUGUGAAGAACCUGCAACUCAUAAUGCCCUGGCUAAGAUCUAUAUCGACAGCAACAACAACCCAGAACGCUUCCUCAGAGAGAACCCAUACUAUGACAGCUGUGUGGUGGGCAAGUACUGCGAGAAGAGGGACCCCCACCUGGCCUGUGUGGCCUAUGAAAGAGGACAGUGUGACCAAGAGCUCAUCCAUGUUUGCAAUGAGAACUCCCUCUUCAAGAGUCUGUCCCGAUACCUUGUGCGUCGCAAAGACCCUGAUCUAUGGGCUAGCGUGCUUCUGGAAAGCAACCCUUACAGGAGACCUCUGAUUGACCAGGUUGUGCAGACUGCCCUCUCUGAGACCCAGGAUCCAGAGGAGGUCUCUGUUACAGUCAAAGCUUUCAUGACCGCUGACCUACCCAAUGAGCUCAUUGAACUCCUGGAGAAGAUUGUCCUGGACAACUCUGUUUUCUGUGAACACAGAAACCUGCAGAAUCUUCUGAUCCUGACUGCCAUCAAAGCUGACCGCACUCGUGUCAUGGAGUACAUCAACCGCCUGGACAACUAUGAUGCCCCGGACAUCGCUAACAUCGCCAUCAGUAAUGAGCUUUUUGAGGAGGCUUUUGCCAUCUUCAGGAAGUUUGAUGUGAACACAUCAGCAGUGCAGGUUCUUAUUGAGCACAUUGGGAAUCUGGACCGGGCUUACGAAUUCGCUGAGCGCUGUAAUGAUCCGGCAGUGUGGAGUCAGUUGGCUAAAGCUCAACUGCAGAAAGGUCUUGUGAAAGAGGCCAUUGACUCGUACAUAAAAGCUGAUGACCCGUCAGCUUACAUGGAAGUGGGACAAGCUGCGGCCCAAAGCGGAAACUGGGAGGACCUUGUCAAAUUUCUGCAGAUGGCCCGUAAGAAGGCCCGUGAAUCAUAUGUGGAGACUGAGCUGAUCUUUGCCCUGGCCAAGACUAACCGUCUGGCUGAACUAGAAGAGUUUAUCAAUGGGCCAAACAAUGCACACAUCCAACAAGUUGGUGACAGAUGCUAUGAUGAGAAGAUGUAUGAGGCAGCUAAACUACUUUAUAACAAUGUUUCCAACUUUGGCCGCCUGGCAUCCACUUUGGUGCAUCUUGGGGAGUAUCAGGCUGCUGUUGAUGGGGCCCGCAAAGCCAACAGCACAAGAACCUGGAAAGAGGUUUGCUUUGCCUGUGUUGAUGGGAAUGAGUUCCGUCUGGCUCAGAUGUGUGGAUUGCAUAUUGUUGUUCAUGCCGAUGAACUUGAAGAGCUCAUCAACUACUACCAGGAUCGUGGUUAUUUCGAGGAGUUGAUCACCCUGCUGGAGGCAGCGCUGGGGCUGGAGCGUGCUCACAUGGGCAUGUUUACAGAACUGGCCAUCCUCUAUUCCAAAUUUAAACCACAGAAGAUGAGGGAGCACCUGGAGCUCUUCUGGUCUAGAGUUAAUAUUCCCAAGGUUUUGAGGGCAGCUGAGCAGGCUCACCUGUGGGGAGAGUUAGUCUUCCUGUAUGAUAAGUAUGAGGAGUAUGACAAUGCCAUCAUCACCAUGAUGAACCAUCCUUCAGAUGCCUGGAAGGAGAGCCAGUUCAAAGACAUCAUAACUAAGGUGGCCAAUGUUGAGCUGUAUUACAAAGCGGUCCAGUUCUAUUUGGAGUUUAAACCUUUGUUACUGAAUGACCUGCUGAUCGUACUCUCCCCACGGCUUGACCACACUCGUGCGGUCAACUUCUUCAGCAAGGUCAAGCAAUUGCCAUUGGUGAAACCAUACCUGAGAUCUGUACAGAACCACAACAACAAGUCUGUAAAUGAAGCACUAAAUAAUCUCUUCAUCACAGAGGAGGAUUAUCAGGCUCUGCGCACAUCCAUCGAUGCCUAUGACAACUUCGACAACAUAUCUCUGGCUCAAAGCCUUGAGAAGCACGAACUCAUAGAAUUCAGGCGAAUUGCCGCCUACCUCUUCAAAGGCAACAACCGCUGGAAGCAGAGCGUUGAGCUCUGCAAGAAAGACAAGCUCUACAAGGAUGCAACGCAGUACGCUUCAGAGUCGAAAGACACUGAGCUGGCCGAGGAGCUGCUGCAGUGGUUCUUGCUGGAGGAUAAGAAAGAGUGUUUUGCCGCCUGCCUCUUCACCUGCUAUGACCUGCUGAGGCCCGAUGUGGUUAUGGAGACCGCAUGGAGGCACAACCUCAUGGACUUCUCCAUGCCCUACUUCAUCCAGGUCAUGAGGGAGUACCUCACCAAGGUUGAUGCAAUUAAGGAAAAGAUUGAUAAAUUGGAUGCUUCAGAGUCUUUAAGGAAAGAAGAAGAGCAGCUUACAGAGGCACAACCCAUUGUUUAUGUGUCUGGGAGUCAGAAACUGUAAGGCCCAGAGAUCUCAUACUUGGUGGGAUGGUCCCAAAUCCCACCUACUACUCAGGCACAUCCCAGCUGAUGCUCACCGCAGGCCCUAAUGUUGCAGUGCCCCCACAGCAGUCUUACGGCUAUGGCUACCCCACAGUGCCUGGCUAUGGCCAGCCCGCACAGCCCGGCUUUGGCUAUGGCAUGUAAAGCCCUCCUGCCCACAUCUGUCCAUCCAUCUCUCCUUAAGUUCUCUAGAAACUUAUUGUGGUCUACUCACAAGCUUAUAUAAAGUAAAAAAAAAAAAAAAGAAAGAAAUAUGCAUUUUUAAAUUAUUUUCCUUACAAUGCAAUGAAGGACAUUUUUAUUUGUGUUGUCAAAAAAUAAUCAGACCACAUUUUUUUUUAUUUCACAUUCCAUAUUUAAGACUACUUCUGUCACUAGUUUUCUUUUUGUGAGCUGAUUUUUAUUGGGGGCAAAAGUUGUGUAUGUAAAUGUUGUGAAGCAUCUGAUUUGCACUCUGCUGUGAGAGGAAACUAAUGUAGAAUCUCUUAAUUUUGAUGUAUGUGAAAAGCUUACACUGUCUGUUUAAUGCAUUUCAUUAUUGUAUAUUCAGAAAAAGGUUAAAACAAUAUUUUAACAUGAACAUGUGCAUCCAUGUGUACGUUUAGCUAACACUAAGUAAUAAUCUGAUGUUCUACACAAAUAUGUAGCUGUAUGCCGAUUUUAAGCGCAUACAGUCAUGAAUAUAGUAAACGAUUUGAAUCCCUUAGAUUAAACCGGUUCCCCAAUUGACCUCAUAGUUCUUAACAUCUCAUUCAAUCUGUGUGUAACAGGUGACCUUUCCUUGUAUUGAAUACAGUGCUCUUUCUUGUGUGAAUCCAUUUUCAGAAAUGAGCAAGGGAUACAUUGAUUUUUUUUCUGACACAUUGUUUACUCAUCUGUGUAUUGAGGUUUGUGUGUGCCAGGUGUUGUGGUAUUCUAGCUCACUAUUUGAAGUGUACAGAAGAAUAGCAUGGGAUACCAGUGCUUGUCCUGUGAGAUUUGUGUGCAAUCUGGAUAAAAGUAAUUGGCAAGUACAUUUCCAGGAUUGUGACUAUUUUGGUGGCUUGCUUGUAAAUGGGCAAUAUUAAAAUGAAACUAAUUCAUUCUCCAUUAUACUGUAUAUCUUGCCACUCAAUGUUUCCAUAAGUUAUGUUACAGCAGACAAUAAGAGUUGUAUGUAAAUUUAUCUUAAUAAUAUAGAAAUGAAUAUACACAUGCUUGUUUACAGCAGCCUUAGAAAAUAAAGUGUUUAGAGCUCUCAA
This is an RNA transcript of Xyrauchen texanus (razorback sucker), 6510 nucleotides long. It is a transcript of the gene named clathrin, heavy chain b (Hc), with no coding region annotated. The record is from RefSeq and is a predicted model, not a curated record. Lineage: Eukaryota; Metazoa; Chordata; Actinopteri; Cypriniformes; Catostomidae. The transcript has 34 exons.